AGUGAACGCUGGCGGUAGGCCUAACACAUGCAAGUCGAACGGCAGCACAGUAAGAGCUUGCUCUUACGGGUGGCGAGUGGCGGACGGGUGAGGAAUACAUCGGAAUCUACUUUUUCGUGGGGGAUAACGUAGGGAAACUUACGCUAAUACCGCAUACGACCUACGGGUGAAAGCAGGGGAUAUUCGGACCUUGCGCGAUUGAAUGAGCCGAUGUCGGAUUAGCUAGUUGGCGGGGUAAAGGCCCACCAAGGCGACGAUCCGUAGCUGGUCUGAGAGGAUUAUCAGCCACACUGGAACUGAGACACGGUCCAGACUCCUACGGGAGGCAGCAGUGGGGAAUAUUGGACAAUGGGCGCAAGCCUGAUCCAGCCAUACCGCGUGGGUGAAGAAGGCCUUCGGGUUGUAAAGCCCUUUUGUUGGGAAAGAAAAGCAGCAGGUUAAUACCCCGCUGUUCUGACGGUACCCAAAGAAUAAGCACCGGCUAACUUCGUG
This 492-nucleotide ribosomal RNA is filed under the name uncultured bacterium. RNAcentral describes it as "partial 16S ribosomal RNA". It matches the Rfam family "Bacterial small subunit ribosomal RNA", at positions 29 to 507 of the family's 1533-position model. The record is from RNAcentral.